RNAcentral lists this long non-coding RNA (225 nucleotides) under Olea europaea (common olive). Its description in RNAcentral is "long non-coding RNA (OEUR_LNC015439)". The record is from RNAcentral. Lineage: Eukaryota; Viridiplantae; Streptophyta; Magnoliopsida; Lamiales; Oleaceae.
GAAAUUUUCCCUUGUGCGGAUUUUCUUUGUUAAUUUUCUGUCCAACACUUCUUCAGCCUGACAUUAUUAAUACGGAAAUUAAUUAUUCGGAGGCCUAAAUGAAAGAAUUUGGCUAAAAUCCCGUGGUCCCGGGUCUAUGUCCCGAGUCCAAAUUCUCAGGUCGUUUCCAUUCAACCAGCCAAAUUUCGGCCCAUUCCGACACUGUCGCGACAAAUGACGAAAUUG